AUUGAACGCUGGCGGUAUGCUUAACACAUGCAAGUCGAACGGUAGCAUGACUUAGCUUGCUAAGUUGAUGACGAGUGGCGAACGGGUGAGUAACGCGUAGGAAUAUGCCUUAAAGUGGGGGACAACUUGGGGAAACUCAAGCUAAUACCGCAUAAUUUCCUUGGAAAAAAGCUGAGGACCUUCGGGCCUGGCGCUUUAAGAUUAGCCUGCGUACGAUUAGCUAGUUGGUAGGGUAAAGGCCUACCAAGGCGACGAUCGUUAGCUGGUCUGAGAGGAUGGACAGCCACACUGGAACUGAGACACGGUCCAGACUCCUACGGGAGGCAGCAGUGGGGAAUAUUGGACGAUGGGGGAAACCCUGAUCCAGCAAUACCGCGUGUGUGAAGGAGGCCUGAGGGUUGUAAAGCACUUUCAGUGGGGAGGAGGGUAUUUAGGUUAAGAGCUAAAAUACUGGACGUUACCCACAGAAGAAGCACCGGCUAACUCCGUGCCAGCAGCCGCCGUAA
Molecule: ribosomal RNA, 506 nt
Filed under: uncultured bacterium
Lineage: Bacteria
Description: partial 16S ribosomal RNA
Rfam family: Bacterial small subunit ribosomal RNA
Source: RNAcentral